RNAcentral lists this long non-coding RNA (251 nucleotides) under Setaria viridis. RNAcentral's name for it is "long non-coding RNA (SVIR_LNC000293)". Lineage: Eukaryota; Viridiplantae; Streptophyta; Magnoliopsida; Poales; Poaceae. The record is from RNAcentral.
GGGCGAUGGGAGAGUACUUGCACAAGGUUCUUUUUUUGUCACAUUGUAGUACUAGGAUUCUUUUGUUGCUGGACCAUGUGCGUGGGAGUGUUGUUUUUCCAGGAGGGCCUCAUGGGGGAAUUGUUCAUCAAUGUCCUGUCGAUAAGGCCGGGCAUCACGUGAAUGUUGUAUGGGCACGUUGGUGCGCAGGGGGCCCUGUCAUGCGUUCAUGGGUGCUUACUGUAGCGUCUUGGAGGGUAGCCAGUUUUGCU